RNAcentral lists this ribosomal RNA (400 nucleotides) under phytoplankton environmental sample. Its description in RNAcentral is "partial small subunit ribosomal RNA". It matches the Rfam family "Eukaryotic small subunit ribosomal RNA", at positions 587 to 991 of the family's 1831-position model. The record is from RNAcentral.
AGCUCCAAUAGCGUAUAUUAAAGUUGUUGCAGUUAAAAAGCUCGUAGUUGGAUUUCUGGCGUAAGUGAUUAGUUCGACCUUAGGUGGAUACCGAUCAUCUUACUCCAUCCUUGGGUCUAGCCUUGCUGGUAUUAAGUUACCGGCUUGUGCGAUGCCCAUCGUUUACUGUGAACAAAAUAGAGUGCUCUAAGCAGGCUUAUGCCGUUGAAUAUAUUAGCAUGGAAUAAUAAGAUAGGACUUUGGUGCUAUUUUGUUGGUUUGCGCAUCAAUGUAAUGAUAAAAAGGGACAGUUGUGGGUAUUUGUAUUUUGGUGUAAGAGGUGAAAUUCUUAGAUUACCAAAAGACAAACGACUGCGAAAGCAUUUACCAAGGAUGUUUUCAUUAAUCAAGAACGAAAGUA